AGCUCCAAUAGCGUAUAUUAAAGUUGUUGCAGUUAAAACGCUCGUAGUUGAAGUUCUGCUGGUGAAAAUCGGUCCACUUCAAUGUGGUACUGAUUGUCACCGGCAUAAUUCCGAUCCAUUGAGCCCCUCGGGAUUCAAUAUUCGGAGCCGUUACUUUGAGUAAAUUAGAGUGUUUCAAGCAGGCAUGACGCCUUGAAUACUCCAGCAUGGAAUAACAAGUGAGGACUCAAGUUCUUCUUGUUGGUUUAAGAACCUGAGUAAUGAUUGAUAGGAACAGUCGGGGGUAUUCGUACUUGGUAGUCAGAGGUGAAAUUCUUAGAUUUACCAAAGACGAACUACUGCGAAGGCAUCUACCAUGGAUGUUUUCA
RNAcentral lists this ribosomal RNA (368 nucleotides) under uncultured eukaryote. RNAcentral describes it as "SSU rRNA". It matches the Rfam family "Eukaryotic small subunit ribosomal RNA", at positions 587 to 972 of the family's 1831-position model. The record is from RNAcentral.